This 1358-nucleotide ribosomal RNA is filed under the name uncultured bacterium. RNAcentral's name for it is "bacterial SSU rRNA". It matches the Rfam family "Bacterial small subunit ribosomal RNA". The record is from RNAcentral.
AGAGUUUGAUCCUGGCUCAGGAUGAACGCUGGCGGCGCGCCUAACACAUGCAAGUCGAACGGCACCCCUCUCCGGAGGGAAGCGAGUGGCGAACGGCUGAGUAACACGUGGAGAACCUGCCCCCUCCCCCGGGAUAGCCGCCCGAAAGGACGGGUAAUACCGGAUACCCCGGGGUGCCGCAUGGCACCCCGGCUAAAGCCCCGACGGGAGGGGAUGGCUCCGCGGCCCAUCAGGUAGACGGCGGGUGACGGCCCACCGUGCCGACAACGGGUAGCCGGGUUGAGAGACCGACCGGCCAGAUUGGGACUGAGACACGGCCCAGACUCCUACGGGAGGCAGCAGUGGGGAAUCUUGCGCAAUGGGGGGAACCCUGACGCAGCGACGCCGCGUGCGGGACGGAGGCCUUCGGGUCGUAAACCGCUUUCAGCAGGGAAGAGUCAAGACUGUACCUGCAGAAGAAGCCCCGGCUAACUACGUGCCAGCAGCCGCGGUAAUACGUAGGGGGCGAGCGUAUNNNAUCAUGGGCGUAAGCGCNCGUAGGCGGCCCGGCAGGNCGGGGUCGAAGCGGGGGGCUCACACCCCCCCGGAAGCCCCGNNCUCCGCGGCUGGGUCCGGUAGGGGAGGGUGGAACACCCGGUGUAGCGGUGGAAUGCGCAGGUAUCGGGUGGAACACCGGUGGCGAAGGCGGCCCUCUGGGCCCGAGACCGACGCUGAGGCGCGAAAGCUGGGGGAGCGAACAGGAUUAGAUACCCUGGUAGUCCCAGCCGUAAACGAUGGACGCUAGGUGUGGGGGGACGAUCCCCCCCGUGCCGCAGCCAACGCAUUAAGCGUCCCGCCUGGGGAGUACGGCCGCAAGGCUAAAACUCAAAGGAAUUGACGGGGGCCCGCACAAGCAGCGGAGCAUGUGGCUUAAUUCGAAGCAACGCGAAGAACCUUACCAGGGCUUGACAUAUGGGUGAAGCGGGGGAGACCCCGUGGCCGAGAGGAGCCCAUACAGGUGGUGCAUGGCUGUCGUCAGCUCGUGUCGUGAGAUGUUGGGUUAAGUCCCGCAACGAGCGCAACCCCCGCCGCGUGUUGCCAUCGGGUGAUGCCGGGAACCCACGCGGGACCGCCGCCGUCAAGGCGGAGGAGGGCGGGGACGACGUCAAGUCAUCAUGCCCCUUAUGCCCUGGGCUGCACACGUGCUACAAUGGCCGGUACAGAGGGAUGCCACCCCGCGAGGGGGAGCGGAUCCCGGAAAGCCGGCCCCAGUUCGGAUUGGGGGCUGCAACCCGCCCCCAUGAAGUCGGAGUUGCUAGUAAUCGCGGAUCAGCAUGCCGCGGUGAAUGCGUUCCCGGGCCUUGCACACACCGCCCGUC